Molecule: transfer RNA, 67 nt
Filed under: Upogebia major
Lineage: Eukaryota; Metazoa; Arthropoda; Malacostraca; Decapoda; Upogebiidae
Description: tRNA-Ser
Rfam family: tRNA
About the family: Transfer RNA (tRNA) molecules are approximately 80 nucleotides in length. Their secondary structure includes four short double-helical elements and three loops (D, anti-codon, and T loops).
Source: RNAcentral
GAUUGAUUAGUUUAAAAAAAACAAAUGUUUUGAAAACAUUAGAUAGAAUUUAAUUUUCUAUUAAUCU